RNAcentral lists this ribosomal RNA (494 nucleotides) under uncultured bacterium. RNAcentral's name for it is "partial 16S ribosomal RNA". It matches the Rfam family "Bacterial small subunit ribosomal RNA", at positions 28 to 507 of the family's 1533-position model. The record is from RNAcentral.
GACGAACGCUGGCGGCGUGCUUAACACAUGCAAGUCGAACGGAAAGGCCUGCUUUCCCUUGUGGAUUGCGGGUACUCGAGUGGCGAACGGGUGAGUAACACGUGAGUGAUCUGCCCCCAACUUGGGUAUAAGCCUGGGAAACUGGGUCUAAUUCCCGAUAGGACUGCAGGGUGGUGCCUGUGGUGGAAAACGAUUUUCUAGUGGUUGGGGAUGAGCUCGCGGCCUAUCAGCUUGUUGGUGGGGUAAUGGCCUACCAAGGCGGCGACGGGUAGCCGGCCUGAGAGGGUGGACGGCCAAAUUGGGACUGAGAUACGGCCCAGACUCAUACGGGAGACAGCAGUGGGGAAUAUGGCAAAAUGGGCGGAAGCCUGAUGCAGCGACGCCGCGUGGGGGAUGACGGCCUUCGGGUUGUAAACUCCUUUCGACCGCGAGGAAGCCACCUGGUUGGAAGGGUGGUGACGGUAGUGGUAGAAGAAGCACCGGCUAACUACGUG